CGUAGGUGAACCUGCGGAGGGAUCAUUGCUGGAAGCGCCGCAAGGUGCACCCAGAAACCCUUUGUGAACUUAUACCUAUUAUCGUUGCCUCGGCGCUGGCUGCCCCUCACAGGGCGCCCUCUCUUCGGAGGGGACAGCAGGCCCGCCGGUGGCCUACUUAACUCUUGUUUUUACUGAGUAACUUCUGAGUAAAUUUCUAAAUGAAUUAAAACUUUCAACAACGGAUCUCUUGGUUCUGGCAUCGAUGAAGAACGCAGCGAAAUGCGAUAAGUAAUGUGAAUUGCAGAAUUCAGUGAAUCAUCGAAUCUUUGAACGCACAUUGCGCCCUCUGGUAUUCCAGAGGGCAUGCCUGUUCGAGCGUCAUUUCAACCCUCAAGCCUAGCUUGGUGUUGGGGCAUUACCUGACUUUACAGAAUGGUAAGCCCUGAAAUUUAGUGGCGAGCUCGCCAGGACUCCGAGCGCAGUAGUGUAAACCUCGCUUUGGAUAGUACUGGCGCGGCCCUGCCGUAAAACCCCCAACUUCUGAAAAUUUGACCUCGGAUCAGGUAGGAAUACCCGCUGAACUUAAGCAUAUCAAUAAGCGGAGGAA
RNAcentral lists this ribosomal RNA (589 nucleotides) under fungal sp. A11-SAM-1. Its description in RNAcentral is "eukaryotic LSU rRNA". The stretch from base 210 to 363 matches the Rfam family "5.8S ribosomal RNA". Lineage: Eukaryota; Fungi. The record is from RNAcentral.